RNAcentral lists this ribosomal RNA (775 nucleotides) under uncultured bacterium. RNAcentral's name for it is "bacterial SSU rRNA". It matches the Rfam family "Bacterial small subunit ribosomal RNA", at positions 685 to 1461 of the family's 1533-position model. The record is from RNAcentral.
AAUGCGUAGAUAUCUGCAGGAACACCCGUGGCGAAGGCGGCUGACUGGAUCGCAACUGACACUGAGGAACGAAAGCUAGGGGAGCAAACAGGAUUAGAUACCCCGGUAGUCCUAGCCCUAAACCAUCGGAACUUGGGGUGGCCCGCGUAGGCGGGUCGUCCCGUAGCUAACGCGUUAAGUUCCGCGCCUGGGGAGUACGGUCGCAAGACUGAAACUCAAAGGAAUUGACGGGGGCCCGCACAAGCGGUGGAACAUGUGGUUCAAUUCGACGCAACGCGAAGAACCUUACCUGGGCUUGAACCGCUACUGACCAAGGGUAGAAAUAUCCUCUUCCCGCAAGGGACAGUAGUAGAGGUGCUGCAUGGCUGUCGUCAGCUCGUGCCGUGAGGUGUUGGGUUAAGUCCCGCAACGAGCGCAACCCUUAUUCGUAGUUGCCACCCGCAAGGGGGAACUCUACGAGGACUGCUCCGGAUAACGGAGAGGAAGGUGGGGAUGACGUCAAGUCAGCACGGCCUUUAUGUCCAGGGCUACACACGUGUUACAAUGCACGGUACAGACUGUUGCGAACCCGCGAGGGGGAGCUAAUCGGAUAAAACCGUGCUCAGUUCGGAUUGCAGUCUGCAACUCGACUGCAUGAAGCUGGAAUCGCUAGUAAUGGCGUAUCAGAUCGACGCCGUGAAUACGUUCCCGGGCCUUGUACACGCCGCCCGCCACAUCACGAAAGUGAGCUGUACUAGAAGUCGCGCAGCCAACCGUAAGGAGGCACGCGCCCAAG